UACGAAGGGGGCUAGCGUUGUUCGGAAUAACUGGGCGUAAAGCGCAUGUAGGCGGAUCUUUAAGUCAGAGGUGAAAUCCCAGGACUCAACCCCGGCAUUGCCUUUGAUACUGGAGAUCUGGAGUCUGGGAGAGGUGAGUGGAAUUCCGAGUGUAGAGGUGAAAUUCGUAGAUAUUCGGAGGAACACCAGUGGCGAAGGCGGCUCACUGGCCCGAGACUGACGCUGAGAUGCGAAAGCGUGGGGAGCAAACAGG
RNAcentral lists this ribosomal RNA (253 nucleotides) under uncultured bacterium. Its description in RNAcentral is "partial 16S ribosomal RNA". It matches the Rfam family "Bacterial small subunit ribosomal RNA", at positions 524 to 776 of the family's 1533-position model. The record is from RNAcentral.